This 513-nucleotide ribosomal RNA is filed under the name uncultured bacterium. RNAcentral's name for it is "bacterial SSU rRNA". It matches the Rfam family "Bacterial small subunit ribosomal RNA", at positions 28 to 523 of the family's 1533-position model. The record is from RNAcentral.
GACGAACGCUGGCGGCGUGCCUAAUACAUGCAAGUCGAGCGGACCAAAGGGAGCUUGCUCCUGGAGGUCAGCGGCGAACGGGUGAGUAACACGUGGGCAACCUGCCUGUAAGACUGGGAUAACAUCGAGAAAUCGGUGCUAAUACCGGAUAAUAAAAAGAACUGCAUGGUUCUUUUUUGAAAGAUGGUUUCGGCUAUCACUUACAGAUGGGCCCGCGGCGCAUUAGCUAGUUGGUGAGGUAACGGCUCACCAAGGCAACGAUGCGUAGCCGACCUGAGAGGGUGAUCGGCCACACUGGGACUGAGACACGGGCCCAGACUCCUACGGGAGGCAGCAGUAGGGAAUCUUCCGCAAUGGACGAAAGUCUGACGGAGCAACGCCGCGUGAGUGAUGAAGGUUUUCGGAUCGUAAAACUCUGUUGUUAGGGAAGAACAAGUGCCGUUCGAAAGGGCGGCACCUUGACGGUACCUAACGAGAAAGCCACGGCUAACUACGUGCCAGCAGCCGCGGUAA